This 57-nucleotide microRNA precursor is filed under the name Ciona intestinalis (vase tunicate). RNAcentral describes it as "miRNA (ENSCING00000025094.1)". The record is from RNAcentral. Lineage: Eukaryota; Metazoa; Chordata; Ascidiacea; Phlebobranchia; Cionidae.
GUGGUUAGCGCGCCUGCCUGUAACCCAGAGGUAAGGUUCAAGGCUCGUCGCUGCUAC